GUGAGACAUACAUCCCUCCUGAAAGUGGCACUGUUGGUGCCAUUUCAAUUGCGGAGGCUAUUUGGUCUUGGGUUUGAUUGGCCAUUACCAGUUUAAAAACUUCAAAAUCAUAUCCAGAAAUCCCAAAGAUCAAAUCAGCCUACUGGUGUCAUUUCAAUUGUAGAAAAGGUUGGUUUGGUUGUGAGUCAGAAUUUUGAGAUCUGAUCACCAAAAAAUCCUAACCACCAAAUCAAACUGAAUUGGCUUUCAUCUUAUUGUGGUACAUUUUUUGUUGUCUUGAAUUGACAGGCUGG
RNAcentral lists this unclassified non-coding RNA (293 nucleotides) under Hevea brasiliensis (rubber tree). The record is from RNAcentral. Lineage: Eukaryota; Viridiplantae; Streptophyta; Magnoliopsida; Malpighiales; Euphorbiaceae.